Molecule: long non-coding RNA, 438 nt
Organism: Daphnia pulicaria
Lineage: Eukaryota; Metazoa; Arthropoda; Branchiopoda; Diplostraca; Daphniidae
Exons: 2
Source: RefSeq, a predicted model, not a curated record
GUCCUUCUGUGCGAAUUUUAAAAGAUGUUUCACCUUAAACUAAUAUGAUGAAAAUUUCAUUUACCGGGAGGUACAGCUGUAAAAUGUACACGAGUAAUGUUCGAUGCAGUACUUUUUAUCCUUAUUUUUGAUAAAGGAAGAAAAUCCAAAAGUUUUCAAUGAAUACAAAACCGUCAAAAGAGUUCUCUGAACCAAAGGAGCUGUUUUAGUUUGCUACUGUUCUUGAUUCAAAAGGACUCCACGAAACUAUUUUGGGUAAGAGACUCUUCUGAUGACGCAUUGCGAGUUCGUAACGAAAUACGAAGUUGCUCGUUUGCAUAAGGUGCAACCGGAUUCAGCAAUCUUCCUAUUCUCAUGCGUGCUUUCAUCCGAUUUCGGCGGAUUCUGUUACAAUGCAUCAAUAUAACAUUUCUCAAUAAAAUUUUUUCUUUUCUAUUA